RNAcentral lists this long non-coding RNA (1071 nucleotides) under Homo sapiens (human). RNAcentral describes it as "HSALNT0300497". Lineage: Eukaryota; Metazoa; Chordata; Mammalia; Primates; Hominidae. The record is from RNAcentral.
AAUUGUUCUCUGGGCUUUGUUUGCAGAACCUGUUGAUGAUCUCCAGUUUCCAGAAGUAUUCUACAUGGAAAUAGUUACCAAUGUGCAAAAGGAGCACCAUUUUCUGGCAUCCCGAGCCACAAACCAGGUGUCUGGAGGUGUUGCUUUGUAAGGAAAAAGCCAGCAGCCAUCUGGCUUCCUCUCCAGAGCCAAUGUAAGGGAGUUGUUUUAAGGAUUGAGGAUACAGGACCUUGUAACAAGCUUACAACAGUAUUUGGCUCUCAAAUCUUAUUCAUCCAGACAGAAGAGGAGAACAAGCCUCGGAGCACCCCCAGGAGCUCUCCUGAAGCCGCCAGGAAUGGAGGAGCUCGCUUGGAAUCAGAGGCCCGUGUUCCCAACCCAGGGCUGCCCCUGCUGGAGAUGUGACCUCGGGCAGGCACACUGGGAAGCCUCUGGAAGCCCAGGCCUGCACGCGUGAAAGGGUCCCAGAGUGCAGCUUCUGUGAUGCUUCAACAUCAGGGCUGAAGACCCUCCGGCACCCACAGGAGGAUCUGCUGCAUCAGCCCAGGUGCCAGCCAGGGAAGGCUCUUGCAGAACUGGAGGCAUCCACAGGCUGUCUUCCGCACCUGAACAAGGCCCUCGUGGGGGGACUCCGCUGGCUCCGCCACUGCCUCUCCAUCCUUGAGUGACUUCCUAAGCCCACACCCAGGCUUCCAGGGCUCCUCUGAGAGCCCCCUGAAUGCAGGCGAGCUCCUCUAGUCACCCCUCUCUCUUGCCCUUCUUUAUUCCUCCAUGCCAGUUUACUCGCUCCCCAAAACAAAUCUUACCCUUUCACAGUUGACCUUAGUGGCCCUUGAGUCCAGAGCCACUGAAAUUCUGUAUCGGUUCCUCUUCCCUCCAGGACAAGGAGAGCUUAACUUCCUAUGUUAUGAGGCAGGGGAUAAUUACAUGCCAUCCUUCCAGCAGAGCAAAGAAAAUGAUUUAAAAAAAAAAAGUUUCACAUUAAAACAGGCAGAACAUUUCUAUUCUGCCAAUAUUUUAAUCCAUUGACUUUUUUUUAAGCGCCUACUGUAUGCCUGCUCAACGAGCUGG